This 451-nucleotide ribosomal RNA is filed under the name uncultured organism. RNAcentral's name for it is "partial 16S ribosomal RNA". It matches the Rfam family "Bacterial small subunit ribosomal RNA", at positions 329 to 797 of the family's 1533-position model. The record is from RNAcentral.
ACGUACACUCCUACGGGAGGCAGCAGUGGGGAAUAUUGGACAAUGGGCGCAAGCCUGAUCCAGCCAUGCCGCGUGAGUGAUGAAGGCCCUAGGGUUGUAAAGCUCUUUCACCGGUGAAGAUAAUGACGGUAACCGGAGAAGAAGCCCCGGCUAACUUCGUGCCAGCAGCCGCGGUAAUACGAAGGGGGCUAGCGUUGUUCGGAUUUACUGGGCGUAAAGCGCACGGAGGCGGACUAUUAAGUCAGGGGUGAAAUCCCGGGGCUCAACCCCGGAACUGCCUUUGAUACUGGUAGUCUUGAGUUCGAGAGAGGUGAGUGGAAUUCCGAGUGUAGAGGUGAAAUUCGUAGAUAUUCGGAGGAACACCAGUGGCGAAGGCGGCUCACUGGCUCGAUACUGACGCUGAGGUGCGAAAGCGUGGGGAGCAAACAGGAUUAGAAACUCUGGUAGUCCC